GCCUCCGCUGUCGGACACAUUCGGACUCUGAAGCAGGCAGAGAAUUGGACGGUGAUUCCAGAGGAUACAGAAGCGCCGAGGAGCAGGCGCGCGAAUUGACGCGGAGCAUUCGCCGCGAAGUGAAUAAACUUUCGGAGCAGUGGAACGCUUUAAUCGAACGUAGCGAUGCGUGGAAGCGGAAACUCGACGACACCUCUAAC
Camponotus floridanus (Florida carpenter ant) is the source of this 200-nucleotide long non-coding RNA. RefSeq lists it as uncharacterized. NCBI's taxonomy places the organism in Eukaryota, Metazoa, Arthropoda, Insecta, Hymenoptera, Formicidae. The record is from RefSeq and is a predicted model, not a curated record. The transcript has 2 exons.